This is a long non-coding RNA of Chinchilla lanigera (long-tailed chinchilla), 4613 nucleotides long. The record is from Ensembl. Lineage: Eukaryota; Metazoa; Chordata; Mammalia; Rodentia; Chinchillidae.
AUGAGCCUUGGAAAGGAAUGCGAAAAGCAUUCAAGGUUGUGUGUAAAGGCUCGAAGAGUGAGCUUGGUAUGUUCCAAGACCAGCAAGGCCACCACCACUGGUGCGCAGUGGGGAGAGUGGAGAGACACAGGCAGAGGAGCCAGUAAGCACAGCAUGAGGAGCUUGGAGGGACGUCAUUCCGCUUGCACUAGGCAGCCUGUGGUGAUGGAGGACUCCUGGCCAACAGAGAAGCAAAUGAAGAAACCACAAAGCUGCAAGGACCGACGUCAACAUACCUGGGGCCAAGAACCUCAAUAUCCUUCUACCUUCUUCAUAAACACACAGUUCUAUGAUGCAAUCAAGUCAACAUGGCUCUGAGACCCUUAAGGCUCUUCAGCCCAUGGUGAUUCUAGGGACCUGUGAUGUACUCCCCAAACCAUGACAGGCACACUGCCAAGUCACUUGCCUCAGCUGGUGCCUGGUAGCGUCUUACCCCACAGAUACUACUCAAACACAUGGCCAUGUCUCCUCUUGCCUGACUCACUGUGCUCCCCCGGGUAGCAGCAGCUCCUUGCUACACCCUGGCCAACAACUAAUUUCUCUUCCUAGAAUCCCAUACUCCUCACCCUACAACACAUACCCUUGCUUUUCUCAUUCCUGUUUGUCAAGUUACUCCUGCCUCUGAUGCUCCUUUGGACCAACACCUCUGUCCUUUGCAUCAAGAUUUGAAAAGCCUUGAAAUGCUCAGAAAAACAAGAGCAGACCACAGGCUUGGAAUGUUAGGAGCCAAGACCAUCCAGGGGCACGGAUUUUAACGCAGACUCUCCCACCUCAUCCCAGCUGAGAGCCAAAGCAGAACCUGGCUUCUAUCAAGUUAGUGUGGGUGGGAAAGGCUUUCUGCACCUGAAGAUACUAGGGUGAUCAACCACCCUGGCUUGAGAAGUGAGAGUUCUGCUUCCUGGGAAACCCAAGUCCUUGGCAAACAAGCUAACUGGCCACUCUAUAUUGAAGCAAUGCCCAACCCUGGCCUCAAAUGAACUGACAACUUAAGUCUUCCCUCAUUUAACAAUUGCUUUAAUGACUUCAGGGAACCAGUGUAUUUCUACCAACUCACUAUUACUUGUGAAGUAUUUUAAGCUCAAACUGGCUGACACAAUACAUGUUAAGCUAAAAGGAAAGAAGUAAAAACGUAUAGAGCUAUGUGCCACCGCAUGAGCCAUACUAUCCACACACAGUAUCCACGUGUUGACACAUGCAAAGCUAACAUGAGCUGCUCCUAGAGGCAAUUUACAUAGUGACCACCAGGAAAUUUAAUGGCGCACAACCACCCUAUGGGAACACGUGUGUGCUGCCCUUACUGCGAGGGUAUCCACACCAUUAACAGUGAUCACCUCACAGGAGUACGGAAGGUGGGAAAUUUUUUAAAAAUCUAAAGCUCUGUUGCUGAUAUUACUGUAAAUAUAUACUUUAAAAAAUUUCCAAAGACUGAACACUCUGAGCACUCACACAGGUUAGAGGUGGGCAGCAAGUGUGGGGUCACAUCUUUAUCAGAAUGAGUGGGUCGUUAACUGGACACCAAAGAGACCACCAUCAAGAAGGCUUCUGAUGAGAAACCACUUUGAAGGUAUCAAUAUGUAAUACAAGCAUUGUUAAUUUCCUACCAGUUUGUAACUCUGUAUUGUCUGUACUGUUCUUUUGCUAUUUUGUAAAAGGUUGUCUGUUAAUGUUUUCCUUUUAUUUUAAAAAUUUUUUUUUUUAAAAAAAGGCUUCUGACGUCCUCCUGAAUAUCACAGAGUAGGGGUCCUCUGAGAAGGGUGGGCUUAUUCAUUACUAUCCUUGCCAGCUUAAGCAGCUAACUGUAAUUUCUGAGAGUCUUAUAAAACAUAAAUCUCAAGUUUAUCAGAAACUAAGUUUUUUUUUUUGGUUAUCAGGAAUCAAACCCAGGGCCUUGCACUUGCCAGGCAGGCGCUGUGCUGCUGAGCACCCAGAAAUUAAAAAUUUAAGUCAUUCUUAGUUACAAGAGUACUGUUCUCCUCCAACCAGGUUUGCAGAGGAAAACAGGAUUUCACUUAAGACACUUUUUAAGUUGGAAGAGGGCCAGGGACUUAGCUCAGUGGGGCAGUCCCUGCUUGGCAAGUAUGAGGUCCUGUGUUUGACUGCUGACAGUCACUCCCCCACAAAAAAAAGUUGGACAGGGGUACACCAUUGUAUAAAUACCUCUCCUAAAGAUACCAUGGGUUUUCCUUUGCAAUAUAUGUCUAUCAAAGCCCACUGUGAACAUUGUUAGAUUUGGAAACAAAAGUUUGGUAAUGGUAGCAUGGCUCAGUCCUUUUCCCACUCAGACUUAGCAAUUACUUUUACAGCCAGAUUGGAGUAAAUAUUCCUGAGACACAGGUCACAGAAACUGAAUUCUAAGAAAAGGACACUUGACUUAGGCCAACCCUUUAAAGGCCCAGCAUACAAACCCGCCUCACAUUUCCCAAAGGGCCUAUUACCCUUGGCUUCUUGAAGCAGCCUUCAGUCACAAACAUAGGUCACUUCCUCUGCACUCAAGAGGACCGUAACAUCGAAUUUAUUAUUUCCAGAAGCCACAAAUUACUCGUGUGAGUUUCUGGGGACCAAACCCAGGCCCCUGCACAUCCCAGGCACAUGAACUACUACUGAUCCGUGUCUCCACCCCUUCCCAAACGCGGAAAGCGAGUGGUGGUGAACCUACGCACUUGAGUUACUGUUCUAAGACAAAAAUGUUAACAUGUGAGUUGUUUUUUCUAAACUAGGACCUCAGCAUUCAGGUUUGAUCAGUGCCGGCACUUCACGGCAGGUAAGUGGGUUCUGGGUUGCAGUUUGGGCACUCAUCUCUAAAUGGUCACCAUCGAUGCUCUAAGAUAAAGUCAGGCUAAAGUUGCCCAGGCUGGCUCAAAGCUGCAGUCCUCCCACGUCAGCCUCCGUGGUAACUCAGCUGACGGGGAUGAGCCAUCGCCUCAGCUUCUCUGUAGGUUUCUAACACACUACAUGCUGGAGGCCAUCUGCCACUACGGCUGACCGCGGAAUGCCAACCUGGAAAUCCACAAAUCAAUUAAAAAUGAACAAGUACCUCAACAGGUUAAAAAAAAAAUUCCACAAGUCAUCUGGUCAUGUCUCCAGCUCUAUUUUAAUAAAAACUCCAGCUUCUGAUUUCUAGCCUACUUGGAAAGGCAGGAGGGACUCAGUAACAGCAUAUUCCAGAUUCUUCAUGUGGUAUAUUUUACCAGCUUUAACUGUACCAAAAGUGAAAACUCAGGCCUACAAAGCCGCAACUAAAAUAUAUUUGAAAGAAAUCCAGAGCCAAGACUAAAAUCAAGGCCAAAACGUGCCAUUAGUAGGCAAAGAGGCCAUAAGAGGUCUCACAGAGCCUUGAAGUCACAAAAGUCACCGCCAUGCCAUCCCCAAAAUUUUGACUUGUAUUUCAACUAUCUGCCUUCUUUCAGGAAGCAGAGUGGGCUAGAUUUAUCUUUACUCAGAUCAUGGAAAGGAUGAAAUUAUUAUUUUUCCGGUACCUGGGAUCAAACUCACAACCUUGCACUUGCCAGGCAGGCGCUGUGCCGCUGAGCUAAAUCCCCAGCCCCUGAAAUUAUUUAUUUGAAGAAUGCUGCAGACCAAAUAUGUUAACACAGCUCCUUCCCCAAGCCCUCUACCUCCUGUGUCUAACACAUCCAUACUCCACAGCUGCUGAGAUAGACUAGAACCUAGAAAGGCAGGCUGGAUUCAUCACCAUAGUCUACAAAUUCUACAUGUGUUUCACCAAACCUUAACACCCAGCUUUUUCCUGAGACAUCUGGACAUACCUGGCUCACUUACAUGUGACCAGGGCUAAAAAUCCUGACUACUAGGCCUCAUCGCCGAUGCCCAGGAUCCACUGCCAUACUAGAAUAUUCUGAAAACACUGCAACAGCCUGAAACCCACUUAGCCCAGUGUACCUGAAGUUAAGACGGUAUACCAACCCUCCAUGCAGUUACUUAACAGCUGUAUCUCCAGCAGCUUUAGAUCUUUCACUUUGCUCUUCCUUGUGUGCUUCAGAACAAGAAAUACAUUAAUUCUCUGUUCUAUCACCAUGAUUAAUCACUACAGCAUUUUAGGUCUAGCACUAAAGGAAGAUCAGCUAGGCCCAGGUUAUAACUGAACAGUGGAGGGCUUACAUUGCAUAAGUGAGGCCGUAGGUCCAAUCUCCAGCGUAAGAAAAACAAAAACAAAAAAAAAACACAAGACACACAAAUCUGCUAGAUCUCUUGAAAGAACAUAUGGGAGACCGGAUGGUUAAUGAGACUGUAUACAAUGGUUGAUGCUAUUUUAAGAAUAGUAAAAUAAGAAUAGUAAAAUAAGCCUUAAGCAGUGGUUUGCUGCAUUCAGCAUGGGAGACAGAGAAGAGCCUAGCUGCUUUCCCCAAGUCUUGUGAGAAUAUGAACUACUUGUAACUCAACUCUAGCCAUGAACUCCAGGUUUCUGUUUCUCAUAAAAACAAAAGGAUGGGGCUGGACAUGGUGGCACAUACCUGUAAUUCCAGCGCUCAGGAGGCUGAGGCAGGAGGAUCACUGCAAGUUCGAGAUUAGCCUGGGCUACUGAGUUCAAAGAGCCUGAACUGCAUAAUGAAACCCUG